Molecule: non-coding RNA, 46 nt
Filed under: Xyrichtys novacula (pearly razorfish)
Lineage: Eukaryota; Metazoa; Chordata; Actinopteri; Labriformes; Labridae
Rfam family: Histone 3' UTR stem-loop
About the family: The mRNAs of metazoan histone genes lack a poly-A tail. 3' end processing occurs at a site between a highly conserved stem-loop (modelled by this family) and a purine rich region around 20 nts downstream (the histone downstream element, or HDE). The stem-loop is bound by a 31 kDa stem-loop binding protein (SLBP - also termed the histone hairpin binding protein, or HBP).
Source: RNAcentral
ACAACGGCUCUUUUAAGAGCCACCUACAAACACAAAGGCAACUGUU